AGAGCGAACGCUGGCGGCAGGCCUAACACAUGCAAGUCGAGCGGCCGUAGCAAUACGGCAGCGGCAGACGGGAUAGUAACACGUGGGAACGCGCCCUUCGGUUCGGAAUAACUCAGGGAAACUUGAGCUAAUACCGGAUACGCCCUUACGGGGAAAGAUUUAUUGCCGAAGGAACGGCCCGCGUCCGAUUAGCUAGUUGGUGAGGUAAUGGCUCACCAAGGCUACGAUCGGUAGCUGGUCUGAGAGGAUGACCAGCAUCACUGGGACUGAGACACGGCCCAGACUCCUACGGGAGGCAGCAGUGGGGAAUAUUGGACAAUGGGCGCAAGCCUGAUCCAGCCAUGCCGCGUGGAUGAUGACGGCCUUAGGGUUGUAAAGUCCUUUUAACGGGGAAGAUAAUGACGGUACCCGUAGAAUAAGCCCGGCUAACUUCGACGCCAGCAGCCGC
RNAcentral lists this ribosomal RNA (448 nucleotides) under uncultured bacterium. Its description in RNAcentral is "SSU rRNA". It matches the Rfam family "Bacterial small subunit ribosomal RNA", at positions 26 to 518 of the family's 1533-position model. The record is from RNAcentral.